Molecule: ribosomal RNA, 1585 nt
Filed under: Staphylococcus aureus
Lineage: Bacteria; Bacillati; Bacillota; Bacilli; Caryophanales; Staphylococcaceae
Description: bacterial LSU rRNA
Rfam family: Bacterial large subunit ribosomal RNA
Source: RNAcentral
AGAUUAAGUUAUUAAGGGCGCACGGUGGAUGCCUUGGCACUAGAAGCCGAUGAAGGACGUUACUAACGACGAUAUGCUUUGGGGAGCUGUAAGUAAGCUUUGAUCCAGAGAUUUCCGAAUGGGGAAACCCAGCAUGAGUUAUGUCAUGUUAUCGAUAUGUGAAUACAUAGCAUAUCAGAAGGCACACCCGGAGAACUGAAACAUCUUAGUACCCGGAGGAAGAGAAAGAAAAUUCGAUUCCCUUAGUAGCGGCGAGCGAAACGGGAAGAGCCCAAACCAACAAGCUUGCUUGUUGGGGUUGUAGGACACUCUGUACGGAGUUACAAAGGACGACAUUAGACGAAUCAUCUGGAAAGAUGAAUCAAAGAAGGUAAUAAUCCUGUAGUCGAAAAUGUUGUCUCUCUUGAGUGGAUCCUGAGUACGACGGAGCACGUGAAAUUCCGUCGGAAUCUGGGAGGACCAUCUCCUAAGGCUAAAUACUCUCUAGUGACCGAUAGUGAACCAGUACCGUGAGGGAAAGGUGAAAAGCACCCCGGAAGGGGAGUGAAAUAGAACCUGAAACCGUGUGCUUACAAGUAGUCAGAGCCCGUUAAUGGGUGAUGGCGUGCCUUUUGUAGAAUGAACCGGCGAGUUACGAUUUGAUGCAAGGUUAAGCAGUAAAUGUGGAGCCGUAGCGAAAGCGAGUCUGAAUAGGGCGUUUAGUAUUUGGUCGUAGACCCGAAACCAGGUGAUCUACCCUUGGUCAGGUUGAAGUUCAGGUAACACUGAAUGGAGGACCGAACCGACUUACGUUGAAAAGUGAGCGGAUGAACUGAGGGUAGCGGAGAAAUUCCAAUCGAACCUGGAGAUAGCUGGUUCUCUCCGAAAUAGCUUUAGGGCUAGCCUCAAGUGAUGAUUAUUGGAGGUAGAGCACUGUUUGGACGAGGGGCCCUCUCGGGUUACCGAAUUCAGACAAACUCCGAAUGCCAAUUAAUUUAACUUGGGAGUCAGAACAUGGGUGAUAAGGUCCGUGUUCGAAAGGGAAACAGCCCAGACCACCAGCUAAGGUCCCAAAAUAUAUGUUAAGUGGAAAAGGAUGUGGCGUUGCCCAGACAACUAGGAUGUUGGCUUAGAAGCAGCCAUCAUUUAAAGAGUGCGUAAUAGCUCACUAGUCGAGUGACACUGCGCCGAAAAUGUACCGGGGCUAAACAUAUUACCGAAGCUGUGGAUUGUCCUUUGGACAAUGGUAGGAGAGCGUUCUAAGGGCGUUGAAGCAUGAUCGUAAGGACAUGUGGAGCGCUUAGAAGUGAGAAUGCCGGUGUGAGUAGCGAAAGACGGGUGAGAAUCCCGUCCACCGAUUGACUAAGGUUUCCAGAGGAAGGCUCGUCCGCUCUGGGUUAGUCGGGUCCUAAGCUGAGGCCGACAGGCGUAGGCGAKGGAUAACAGGUUGAUAUUCCUGUACCACCUAUAAUCGUUUUAAUCGAUGGGGGGACGCAGUAGGAUAGGCGAAGCGUGCGAUUGGAUUGCACGUCUAAGCAGUAAGGCUGAGUAUUAGGCAAAUCCGGUACUCGUUAAGGCUGAGCUGUGAUGGGGAGAAGACAUUGAG